CCUACGGGAGGCUGCAGUGAGGAAUAUUGGUCAAUGGCCGGAAGGCUGAACCAGCCAAGCCGCGUGAAGGACGAAGGUGCCAAGCAUUGUAAACUUCUUUUGUCAAGGGACAAAAUCAGGCUCGAGAGCCUGACCGAGGGUACUCGAAGAAAAAGCAUCGGCGAACACCGGGCCAGCAGCCGCGGUAAGACGGAGGAUGCGAGCGUUAGCCGGAUUUAUUGGGUUGAAAGGGUGCGUAGGCGGAUUGUUAAGUCAGCGUUAAAAGCCCGGGGCUCAACCCCGGCGAGCCGUUGAAACUGGCUGUCUUGAGAUGUCGAGAGGUAUGCGGAAUGCGCAGUGUAGCGAUGAAAUGCUUAGAUAGUGCGCAGAACUCCGAUUGCGAAGGCAGCAUACCGGCGGCGAUCUGACGCUGAGGCACGAAAGCGUGGGUAUCGAACAGGAUUAGAUACCCGGGUAGUC
This 459-nucleotide ribosomal RNA is filed under the name uncultured bacterium. Its description in RNAcentral is "partial 16S ribosomal RNA". It matches the Rfam family "Bacterial small subunit ribosomal RNA", at positions 338 to 795 of the family's 1533-position model. The record is from RNAcentral.